GAUGAGCGCUGGCGGCGUGCUUAACACAUGCAAGUCGAACGGAAAGGCCCAAGCUUGCUUGGGUACUCGAGUGGCGAACGGGUGAGUAACACGUGGGUGAUCUGCCCUGCACUUCGGGAUAAGCCUGGGAAACUGGGUCUAAUACCGGAUAGGACCACAUUUUGGAUGGUGUGGUGGAAAGUUUUUCGGUGUGGGAUGAGCUCGCGGCCUAUCAGCUUGUUGGUGGGGUAAUGGCCUACCAAGGCGUCGACGGGUAGCCGGCCUGAGAGGGUGUACGGCCACAUUGGGACUGAGAUACGGCCCAGGCGCCUACGGGAGGCAGCAGUGGGGAAUAUUGCACAAUGGGCGCAAGCCUGGUGCAGCGACGCCGCGUGGGGGAUGACGGCCUUCGGGUUGUAAACUCCUUUCGCUAGGGACGAAGCGUUAUGUGACGGUACCUGGAGAAGAAGCACCGGCUAACUACGUG
Molecule: ribosomal RNA, 466 nt
Filed under: uncultured bacterium
Lineage: Bacteria
Description: partial 16S ribosomal RNA
Rfam family: Bacterial small subunit ribosomal RNA
Source: RNAcentral